RNAcentral lists this transfer RNA (74 nucleotides) under Candidatus Yanofskybacteria bacterium RIFCSPHIGHO2_01_FULL_41_21. RNAcentral describes it as "tRNA-Ala". It matches the Rfam family "tRNA". Rfam says of the family: Transfer RNA (tRNA) molecules are approximately 80 nucleotides in length. Their secondary structure includes four short double-helical elements and three loops (D, anti-codon, and T loops). Lineage: Bacteria; Candidatus Yanofskyibacteriota. The record is from RNAcentral.
GGGCCUAUAGUAAAUCGGUAUUACGCAUCCAUGGCAUGGAUGAGGGCCGGGUUCGAUUCCCGGUAGGUCCACCA